This 422-nucleotide ribosomal RNA is filed under the name uncultured bacterium. Its description in RNAcentral is "bacterial SSU rRNA". It matches the Rfam family "Bacterial small subunit ribosomal RNA", at positions 355 to 774 of the family's 1533-position model. The record is from RNAcentral.
UGAGGAAUAUUGGGCAAUGCCCGAAAGGGUGACCCAGCAACGCCGCGUGGAGGAUGAAGGUCGUAAGAUUGUAAACUCCUGUUAGAGGGGAAGAAUAACUAAGUUUGGAGCUUAGUAUGACUGUACCCUCAGAGAAAGCCCCGGCUAACUACGUGCCAGCAGCCGCGGUAAUACGUAGGGGGCAAGCGUUGUCCGGAUUUACUGGGUGUAAAGGGCGCGCAGACGGAAUGGAAAGUCAGUGGUGAAAUCCUACAGCUUAACUGUAGAACUGCCUUUGAUACUUUCAUUCUUGAGUUCGGGAGAGAGAGACGGAAUUCCAGGUGUAGUGGUGAAAUACGUAGAUAUCUGGAAGAACACCAGUUGCGAAGGCGGUCUCUUGGUCCGAUACUGACGCUGAGGCGCGAAAGCGUGGGGAGCAAACA